AACUAAAUGCUGACAACAGGCUUCCUAACAGUGACUGCAAUAGAUCAGAGGUCAGAACAAGAACCUGAAGACAACCUGGAGAGAUAAAAAAUCUAAUUGUGUGAUAAUUCGAGGAGGUCCAUAUUGUGUCUCCAACAAUCACUCAAAAAAAAUACAAAGAUUCUCUUAGUACAGGUGCACUCCGCAGGACUACUUGGGGUCAUGGUCCUCCAUGUUCGGCUGUGAGUACACAAGGAAACCAUUCAAGAUUGUUUGUUAUUAAGAUCAGCUACAUAAAUUCCUAUUGACUCAGUGACAAGUUUUGUGUUUAUUUUGUAAAACAAACAUGGAGAAGCUCCCGCACAAAGAACAUACGUAUGUAUUUUGGAUGAGCUGAGAAGGAUGUCAAAAGUUGAAGCUAACAGAGCCUCAGCUUCAGGCUACUAAUAAAAUUGGAGUCCGGGCUCCAAAGGUCCUCAGUUGAGGAAAGCACAAACAACAACUUGGCCACAAAGACGAGCGAUGGGAAGCGAACAGAAAACCUCCAAGGAAGUCUAUUUUGCCAUACUGCCAGAUAAAUAUGAACCUUUGAUCGAGGACGAAGGAAGCCAGGAGACGCCAGAAGAAAGGUUGAGAAGGAAGGAGAAGAGGAAGAGGAGGAGGAAGAAGUACAUUAAGAAUGUCAAGAAGGCGUGCAGCUUCAGCUGGCGCUGCCUGGUGUAUGGCCUGCAGAGCCUAGCCGCCUCGUUCUCCACGCCGCUGUCAGUUGCCGUCGUGGUGAUGGAGCAUCGAACGAGAAGUGACCAGUGAAAGCGUGAAUGGAGCCUCACUUCCAUUUUUCCGGUCAAAUGUUUGGAAUGUAAAAUCCUACAUCACUGCAAUUUUUUUUUUUUUGUGUUUGUGAGUGUAAAGAGAUUGAUAGAUGUUGUUUUACACGAUAUUUGUUCCUGGAUUGUAUCAAAUAAAAUGUGUGUGUAAACCUUUAA
Syngnathus acus (greater pipefish) is the source of this 965-nucleotide long non-coding RNA. RefSeq lists it as uncharacterized. The transcript has 4 exons. The record is from RefSeq and is a predicted model, not a curated record. Lineage: Eukaryota; Metazoa; Chordata; Actinopteri; Syngnathiformes; Syngnathidae.